Molecule: ribosomal RNA, 71 nt
Filed under: uncultured Thelephoraceae
Lineage: Eukaryota; Fungi; Basidiomycota; Agaricomycetes; Thelephorales; Thelephoraceae
Description: partial 18S ribosomal RNA
Source: RNAcentral
UUCUUGUUCAAUAAGGGGAAGUUAAAGUUGGUACCCAGGUUUCCGUAGGUGAACCUGCGGAAGGAUCAUUA